RNAcentral lists this ribosomal RNA (491 nucleotides) under uncultured bacterium. RNAcentral's name for it is "partial 16S ribosomal RNA". It matches the Rfam family "Bacterial small subunit ribosomal RNA", at positions 29 to 507 of the family's 1533-position model. The record is from RNAcentral.
AGUGAACGCUGGCGGUAGGCCUAACACAUGCAAGUCGAACGGCAGCACAGUAAGAGCUUGCUCUUACGGGUGGCGAGUGGCGGACGGGUGAGGAAUACAUCGGAAUCUACUUUUUCGUGGGGGAUAACGUAGGGAAACUUACGCUAAUACCGCAUACGACCUACGGGUGAAAGCAGGGGAUCUUCGGACCUUGCGCGAUUGAAUGAGCCGAUGUCGGUUAGCUAGUUGGCGGGGUAAAGGCCCACCAAGGCGACGAUCCGUAGCUGGUCUGAGAGGAUGAUCAGCCACACUGGAACUGAGACACGGUCCAGACUCCUACGGGAGGCAGCAGUGGGGAAUAUUGGACAAUGGGCGCAAGCCUGAUCCAGCCAUACCGCGUGGGUGAAGAAGGCCUUCGGGUUGUAAAGCCCUUUUGUUGGGAAAGAAAAGCAGCAGGUUAAUACCCCGCUGUUCUGACGGUACCCAAAGAAUAAGCACCGGCUAACUUCGUG